ACGAACGCUGGCGGCGUGCUUAACACAUGCAAGUCGAACGGAAAGGCCCCUUCGGGGGUACUCGAGUGGCGAACGGGUGAGUAACACGUGAGUAACCUGCCCUUGACUUCGGGAUAACUUCAGGAAACUGGGGCUAAUACCGGAUAGGAAUCCUUGCUGCAUGGUGGGGGUUGGAAAGCUUCGGCGGUUUUGGAUGGACUCGCGGCUUAUCAGCUUGUUGGUGGGGUAGUGGCUUACCAAGGCUUUGACGGGUAGCCGGCCUGAGAGGGCGACCGGCCACAUUGGGACUGAGAUACGGCCCAGACUCCUACGGGAGGCAGCAGUGGGGAAUAUUGCACAAUGGGCGGAAGCCUGAUGCAGCAACGCCGCGUGCGGGAUGACGGCCUUCGGGUUGUAAACCGCUUUCAGCAGGGGCGAAGCUUGUGGUGACGGUACCUGCAGAAGAAGCACCGGCUAACUACGU
Molecule: ribosomal RNA, 463 nt
Filed under: uncultured bacterium
Lineage: Bacteria
Description: partial 16S ribosomal RNA
Rfam family: Bacterial small subunit ribosomal RNA
Source: RNAcentral